Molecule: ribosomal RNA, 480 nt
Filed under: uncultured bacterium
Lineage: Bacteria
Description: bacterial SSU rRNA
Rfam family: Bacterial small subunit ribosomal RNA
Source: RNAcentral
AACGAACGUUGGCGGCGUGGAUUAGGCAUGCAAGUCGAGCGAAUCCCCGCAAGGGGGGAAGCGGCGAAAGGGGCAGUAAGGCAUGGGUAACCUACCCUGGGGACUGGGAUAGCCCUUCGAGAGAAGGGGUAAUACCGGGCGACGUGCCGGAGAGGCAUCUCUUUGUCACCAAAUGAGUUUCGCCCGGGGAGGGGCCCAUGUGAUAUUAGCUAGUUGGUGAGGUAACGGCUCACCAAGGCGAAGAUGUCUAGCGGGUGUGAGAGCACGACCCGCGCCACUGGCGAUGGGACACUGGCCAGACACCUACGGGUGGCUGGAGUCGAGGAUCUUCGGAAAUGGGCGCAAGCCUGACCGAGCGACGCCGCGUGUGCGAUGAAGGCCUUCGGGUUGUAAAGCACUGUCGAGAGGGAGAAAAGCGAAAGCUUGAUCUAUCUCUGGAGGAAGCACGGGCUAAGUUCGUGCCAGCAGCCGCCGUAAGAC